GUCGGUAAAACUCGUGCCAGCCACCGCGGUUAUACGAGAGGUCCAAGUAGAUAGUCAACGGCGUAAAGAGUGGUUAGAAGAGACCCAUUACUAAAGCCGAACGCCCUCAAAGCUGUUAUACGCACCCGAGGGUGAGAAGCUCAUCCACGAAAGUGGCUUUACAACUUUGAAUCCACGAAAGCUAUGGCACAAACUGGGAUUAGAUACCCCACUAUG
RNAcentral lists this ribosomal RNA (216 nucleotides) under Cynoscion nothus (silver seatrout). RNAcentral's name for it is "partial small subunit ribosomal RNA". It matches the Rfam family "Bacterial small subunit ribosomal RNA", at positions 492 to 794 of the family's 1533-position model. Lineage: Eukaryota; Metazoa; Chordata; Actinopteri; Sciaenidae. The record is from RNAcentral.